RNAcentral lists this ribosomal RNA (1449 nucleotides) under uncultured organism. RNAcentral describes it as "SSU rRNA". It matches the Rfam family "Bacterial small subunit ribosomal RNA". The record is from RNAcentral.
AACGCUAGCUACAGGCUUAACACAUGCAAGUCGAGGGGCAGCAUGGUCUUAGCUUGCUAAGACUGAUGGCGACCGGCGCACGGGUGAGUAACACGUAUCCAACCUGCCGUCUACUCUUGGACAGCCUUCUGAAAGGAAGAUUAAUACAAGAUGGCAUCAUGAGUCCACAUGUUCACAUGAUUAAAGGUAUUCCGGUAGACGAUGGGGAUGCGUUCCAUUAGAUAGUAGGCGGGGUAACGGCCCACCUAGUCUUCGAUGGAUAGGGGUUCUGAGAGGAAGGUCCCCCACAUUGGAACUGAGACACGGUCCAAACUCCUACGGGAGGCAGCAGUGAGGAAUAUUGGUCAAUGGGCGAGAGCCUGAACCAGCCAAGUAGCGUGAAGGAUGACUGCCCUAUGGGUUGUAAACUUCUUUUAUAAAGGAAUAAAGUCGGGUAUGCAUACCCGUUUGCAUGUACUUUAUGAAUAAGGAUCGGCUAACUCCGUGCCAGCAGCCGCGGUAAUACGGAGGAUCCGAGCGUUAUCCGGAUUUAUUGGGUUUAAAGGGAGCGUAGAUGGAUGUUUAAGUCAGUUGUGAAAGUUUGCGGCUCAACCGUAAAAUUGCAGUUGAUACUGGAUAUCUUGAGUGCAGUUGAGGCAGGCGGAAUUCGUGGUGUAGCGGUGAAAUGCUUAGAUAUCACGAAGAACUCCGAUUGCGAAGGCAGCCUGCUAAGCUGCAACUGACAUUGAGGCUCGAAAGUGUGGGUAUCAAACAGGAUUAGAUACCCUGGUAGUCCACACGGUAAACGAUGAAUACUCGCUGUUUGCGAUAUACAGCAAGCGGCCAAGCGAAAGCGUUAAGUAUUCCACCUGGGGAGUACGCCGGCAACGGUGAAACUCAAAGGAAUUGACGGGGGCCCGCACAAGCGGAGGAACAUGUGGUUUAAUUCGAUGAUACGCGAGGAACCUUACCCGGGCUUAAAUUGCAGAUGAAUUACGGUGAAAGCCGUAAGCCGCAAGGCAUCUGUGAAGGUGCUGCAUGGUUGUCGUCAGCUCGUGCCGUGAGGUGUCGGCUUAAGUGCCAUAACGAGCGCAACCCUUGUUGUCAGUUACUAACAGGUCCUGCUGAGGACUCUGACAAGACUGCCAUCGUAAGAUGUGAGGAAGGUGGGGAUGACGUCAAAUCAGCACGGCCCUUACGUCCGGGGCUACACACGUGUUACAAUGGGGGGUACAGAGGGCCGCUACCACGCGAGUGGAUGCCAAUCCCCAAAACCUCUCUCAGUUCGGACUGGAGUCUGCAACCCGACUCCACGAAGCUGGAUUCGCUAGUAAUCGCGCAUCAGCCACGGCGCGGUGAAUACGUUCCCGGGCCUUGUACACACCGCCCGUCAAGCCAUGGGAGCCGGGGGUACCUGAAGUGCGUAACCGCGAGGAGCGCCCUAGGGUAAAACUGGUGACUGGGGCUAAG